RNAcentral lists this long non-coding RNA (625 nucleotides) under Nicotiana benthamiana. RNAcentral's name for it is "long non-coding RNA (NBEN_LNC012257)". The record is from RNAcentral. Lineage: Eukaryota; Viridiplantae; Streptophyta; Magnoliopsida; Solanales; Solanaceae.
GAGUACAAUUUUCCUCCAAAGCUUUAGUCUCUGUAGCAGUCCCAUACUCAUCUGUACCACACAUGUAUAUUGCAUUGUAUCCUCUAAGUCUACAGUAUCUCGCAAACACGUCAGCACUCAAUACACAUCCAAUAAUAUUGCCAAGGUGAGGAACGUUAUUGACAUAAGGCAAAGCGCUAGUAAUUAGGAUGUUUCGUUUGCCUCCACCCAAAAAAAUCAAUUUUUCCAAAUCCAAAAAUAAAUAAAAAAUAAAAAAAUAAAAACUAUAAAUAAAUAAAGUUGUACGUACAUCCAAUAAUAUUGCCAAGGUGAGGAACGUUAUUGACAUAAGGCAAAGCGCUAGUAAUUAGGAUGUUUCGUUUGCCUGGGAUUGGAAGUAUCGGAACUGUUUUGCAAUUUUCGCCCAUUUUUUGAGAGAUCUUAAUUUUCUCAAAGAGAUUCUUGAGAUAGUAGAACUUCGUGCUGAUAACGUGUUAUGAAAUAGCUAGGGUUCAAAAGAGGUUUUUUAUGGCUAUAAUUGAAAUUCAGCAUAUGAAGAAGACGAAGAAUAGAGAAUGCUACUGUUUAAGGUAAAAGAGGCGUUAUAAUCUAUAGACUGAAUAAAUUAACGGAAUGAGGUUCUUUU